GAUGAACGCUGGCGGCGUGCCUAAUACAUGCAAGUCGAGCGAACGGACGAGAAGCUUGCUUCUCUGAUGUUAGCGGCGGACGGGUGAGUAACACGUGGAUAACCUACCUAUAAGACUGGGAUAACUUCGGGAAACCGGAGCUAAUACCGUAUAAUAUUUUGAACCGAAUGGUUCAAAAGUGAAAGACGGUCUUGCUGUCACUAAUAGAUUGAUCCGCGCUGCAUUAGAUAGUUGGUAAGGUAACGGCUUACCACGGCAACGAUGCAUAGCCGACCUGAGAGGGUGAGAGGCCACACUGGACCUGAGACACGGACCAGACUCCUACGGGAGGCAGCAGUAGGGAAUCUUCCGCAGUGGGCGAAAGCCUGACGGAGCAACGCCGCGUGAGUGAUGAAGGUCUUCGGAUCGUAAAACUCUGUUAGUAGGGAAGAACAUAUGUGUAAGUAACUGUGCAGAUCUUGACGGUACCUAAUCAGAAAGCCACGGCUAACUACGUG
Molecule: ribosomal RNA, 497 nt
Filed under: uncultured bacterium
Lineage: Bacteria
Description: partial 16S ribosomal RNA
Rfam family: Bacterial small subunit ribosomal RNA
Source: RNAcentral